Molecule: ribosomal RNA, 451 nt
Filed under: Arthrobacter sp. LR-55
Lineage: Bacteria; Bacillati; Actinomycetota; Actinomycetes; Micrococcales; Micrococcaceae
Description: bacterial SSU rRNA
Rfam family: Bacterial small subunit ribosomal RNA
Source: RNAcentral
UGGCUCAGGAUGAACGCUGGCGGCGUGCUUAACACAUGCAAGUCGAACGAUGAAGCCCAGCUUGCUGGGUGGAUUAGUGGCGAACGGGUGAGUAACACGUGAGUAACCUGCCCCCGACUCUGGGAUAAGCCCGGGAAACUGGGUCUAAUACCGGAUAUUACCUUUGACCGCAUGGUUGUUGGUGGAAAGAUUUAUCGGUGGGGGAUGGACUCGCGGCCUAUCAGCUUGUUGGUGAGGUAAUGGCUCACCAAGGCGACGACGGGUAGCCGGCCUGAGAGGGUGACCGGCCACACUGGGACUGAGACACGGCCCAGACUCCUACGGGAGGCAGCAGUGGGGAAUAUUGCACAAUGGGCGAAAGCCUGAUGCAGCGACGCCGCGUGAGGGAUGACGGCCUUCGGGUUGUAAACCUCUUUCAGUAGGGAAGAAGCGAAAGUGACGGUACCUGCAG